ACGGGUGAGUAACACGUGGGAACGUACCCUUUUCUACGGAAUAACCCAGGGAAACUUGGACUAAUACCGUAUGUGCCCUUCGGGGGAAAGAUUUAUCGGAAAAGGAUCGGCCCGCGUUGGAUUAGCUAGUUGGUGAGGUAAAGGCCUACCAAGGCGACGAUCCAUAGCUGGUCUGAGAGGAUGAUCAGCCACAUUGGGACUGAGACACGGCCCAAACUCCUACGGGAGGCAGCAGUGGGGAAUAUUGGACAAUGGGCGCAAGCCUGAUCCAGCCAUGCCGCGUGAGUGAUGAAGGCCUUAGGGUUGUAAAGCUCUUUCACCGGAGAAGAUAAUGACGGUAUCCGGAGAAGAAGCCCCGGCUAACUUCGUGCCAGCAGCCGCGGUAAUACGAAGGGGGCUAGCGUUGUUCGGAUUUACUGGGCGUAAAGCGCACGUAGGCGGAUCGAUCAGUCAGGGGUGAAAUCCCAGAGCUCAACUCUGGAACUGCCUUUGAUACUGUCGAUCUGGAGUAUGGAAGAGGUGAGUGGAAUUCCGAGUGUAGAGGUGAAAUUCGUAGA
Molecule: ribosomal RNA, 557 nt
Filed under: uncultured bacterium
Lineage: Bacteria
Description: bacterial SSU rRNA
Rfam family: Bacterial small subunit ribosomal RNA
Source: RNAcentral